GUCUAUAGCCGUACCCACCAUGAACACACCCCAUCUCACCCUGAUCUCAGAAGCUAAGCAGGGUUGGGGCCCUGGUUAGUAACUUGGGAUGGGAAACAAUAGAAU
RNAcentral lists this ribosomal RNA (105 nucleotides) under Erinaceus europaeus (western European hedgehog). Lineage: Eukaryota; Metazoa; Chordata; Mammalia; Eulipotyphla; Erinaceidae. The record is from RNAcentral.